UUUAACGGCCGCGGUACCCUAACCGUGCGAAGGUAGCAUAAUCACUUGUUCUUUAAAUGGGGACUAGUAUCAACGGCAUCACGAGGGUUUAACUGUCUCCUUUCUCCAAUCAGUGAAACUGAUCUCCCCGUGAAGAAGCGGGGAUUUAUCUAUAAGACGAGAAGACCCCAUGGAGCUUUAAGCCCAACAGCAACUCUGCAAAAAUACUUCUUUAUAGCCUUAGAAUUAUGUUUGUUGGCUUUAGGUUGGGGUGACCGCGGAGUAUAAUACAACCUCCACGACGAACGGGUUUUAACCCCUUAUCCAAGAGCUACUGCUCUAAGAAUCAUUAAACUGACGUAAAAUGAUCCAAUUUUUGAUCAACGAACCAAGUUACCCUGGGGAUAACAGCGCAAUCCAUUUCAAGAGCCCCUAUCGACAAAUGGGUUUACGACCUCGAUGUUGGAUCAGGGU
Molecule: ribosomal RNA, 453 nt
Filed under: Strongylopus grayii (Gray's stream frog)
Lineage: Eukaryota; Metazoa; Chordata; Amphibia; Anura; Pyxicephalidae
Description: partial 16S ribosomal RNA
Rfam family: Bacterial large subunit ribosomal RNA
Source: RNAcentral